UACGGGGGGGGCAAGCGUUGUCCGGAAUUAUUGGGCGUAAAGCGCGCGCAGGCGGUCCUUUAAGUCUGAUGUGAAAGCCCACGGCUCAACCGUGGAGGGUCAUUGGAAACUGGGGGACUUGAGUACAGAAGAGAAGAGUGGAAUUCCGCGUGUAGCAGUGAAAUGCGUAGAGAUGCGGAGGAACACCGAUGGCGAAGGCAGCCCCCUGGGUCGACACUGACGCUCAGGCACGAAAGCGUGGGGAGCAAACAGG
RNAcentral lists this ribosomal RNA (253 nucleotides) under uncultured bacterium. Its description in RNAcentral is "partial 16S ribosomal RNA". It matches the Rfam family "Bacterial small subunit ribosomal RNA", at positions 524 to 776 of the family's 1533-position model. The record is from RNAcentral.